This 501-nucleotide ribosomal RNA is filed under the name uncultured bacterium. RNAcentral describes it as "partial 16S ribosomal RNA". It matches the Rfam family "Bacterial small subunit ribosomal RNA", at positions 30 to 523 of the family's 1533-position model. The record is from RNAcentral.
AUUGAACGCUGGCGGCAUGCCUCACACAUGCAAGUCGAACGGCAGCACGGGUGCUUGCACCUGGUGGCGAGUGGCGAACGGGUGAGUAAUACAUCGGAACGUACCUUAUCGUGGGGGAUAACGCAGCGAAAGUUGCGCUAAUACCGCAUACGCCCUGAGGGGGAAAGCGGGGGACCGUAAGGCCUCGCGCGAUUAGAGCGGCCGAUGUCUGAUUAGCUUGUUGGUGAGGUAAAAGCUCACCAAGGCGAUGAUCAGUAGCUGGUCUGAGAGGACGAUCAGCCACACUGGGACUGAGACACGGCCCAGACUCCUACGGGAGGCAGCAGUGGGGAAUUUUGGACAAUGGGGGCAACCCUGAUCCAGCAAUGCCGCGUGAGUGAAGAAGGCCUUCGGGUUGUAAAGCUCUUUUGUCAGGGAAGAAACAGCAGCUCUAACACAGCCUGCGAAUGACGGUACCUGAAGAAUAAGCACCGGCUAACUACGUGCCAGCCGCCGCGGUAA